This is a long non-coding RNA of Hemicordylus capensis (graceful crag lizard), 937 nucleotides long. RefSeq lists it as uncharacterized. The transcript has 4 exons. The record is from RefSeq and is a predicted model, not a curated record. NCBI's taxonomy places the organism in Eukaryota, Metazoa, Chordata, Lepidosauria, Squamata, Cordylidae.
AGGAGAACCAUGGAUUUUUAUGUGCUCAGAGGGGUUGUUCUUCAUUUUAUAGCUUCCUCUUCUCUCUUUUUUUUUUGCAUAUGUUGCUGCUGGAAUCACAGGCCACAUUUUUACGAGAGAAUCUGAAGAGGCAUUUUAAAGCCUGAACAGCUUGACUCAGGCUUUUGAGGAUAUUGCCAGAGACUAAUCUCCUUCUGGACAGUGACCUGCAAUGGGGCUUCUGUCAAUGCUAUUGGUACCAAAACAGGAGGACUAAUCAAGCACUGGGAUUUUGGAAUUGCAGGAACACCUUGAGGUCAAAACCGAUUUGCUGGCUCGGCUUCCUCAUGUAGCAUCUUUAACCCUUUCUCCCCCUUCCUCUCUGGCUCGUGACCUGCCUGGUGCUGUUUCCUAAUUUGAUUAUGCUCUGUGAAUCCUUCUUGUGGGCCAGACUUGAUAUAUUUGGUGACUGCACCUUUUUGAAAGAUCAAAUGGGGAGUGUAUCCAUGUGCAUGAGAGAGAACACAAGAAGAGUGUCAGGAACGCUGAACAUUCAAAGUGCGGGCAUUCAGCUGUGCACAUUUAAUGGAGGCAGCAGAAGACCCUGCGUGGCCCAGGAAGUGUUGAGUCAACUCUUGAGAAAAUGACACAGCGUGUGCUGGCAUUGUUUGUGUGCCAGGAAGUCCAAGUCCUCCCAGAUGACACAGUGUCAACAGACAGCUUGAUUGGCUCACCAGUUAGUGGAUGUUUCACAUGAAAAGGUACCAAAUAUUAGACUGUGGUUUGGUAAAUAUUAAUCAGUCAAGUACCCCCCUUGCUUGUUACCCAUAAAUGGAUCAACAGAAUGGAAAAUAUCUGGGAGAAGGCAAAGUGUCUUGGCACUGUAUUUAUUUAUUUAUUUAUUUUUAUUUACCGUAUUUAACAUGGUUUUUAUACUGCCACCAAACUUGCAUCUCUG